Molecule: unclassified non-coding RNA, 181 nt
Filed under: Haemonchus placei
Lineage: Eukaryota; Metazoa; Nematoda; Chromadorea; Rhabditida; Trichostrongylidae
Description: partial external transcribed spacer
Source: RNAcentral
GUUCAUUUUCGUCUUGGGCGAUAUGUUUCGGUUUUCCCAAUGUUUCACAAACAACUAUGGGUAUCGUCAAGUGUAGAUCUGUGUGGUCCAGUAUUUGAUUCGUUGGUGGUCUGCGAAACUGCAAACGUGUUAGAUAGCCCGGUGAUUCGCUGCUAUUCGAAUCAACGCGUGCGGUCUCAAU